AUUGAACGCUGGCGGCAGGCCUAACACAUGCAAGUCGAGCGGAUGAAGGGAGCUUGCUCCUGGAUUCAGCGGCGGACGGGUGAGUAAUGCCUAGGAAUCUGCCUGGUAGUGGGGGAUAACGUCCGGAAACGGGCGCUAAUACCGCAUACGUCCUGAGGGAGAAAGUGGGGGAUCUUCGGACCUCGCGCUAUCAGAUGAGCCUAGGUCGGAUUAGCUAGUUGGUGGGGUAAAGGCCUACCAAGGCGACGAUCCGUAACUGGUCUGAGAGGAUGAUCAGUCACACUGGAACUGAGACACGGUCCAGACUCCUACGGGAGGCAGCAGUGGGGAAUAUUGGACAAUGGGCGAAAGCCUGAUCCAGCCAUGCCGCGUGUGUGAAGAAGGUCUUCGGAUUGUAAAGCACUUUAAGUUGGGAGGAAGGGCAGUAAGUUAAUACCUGGCUGUUUGGACGUUACCAACAGAAUAAGCACCGGCGAACUUCGU
RNAcentral lists this ribosomal RNA (483 nucleotides) under uncultured bacterium. RNAcentral describes it as "partial 16S ribosomal RNA". It matches the Rfam family "Bacterial small subunit ribosomal RNA", at positions 30 to 506 of the family's 1533-position model. The record is from RNAcentral.